Molecule: ribosomal RNA, 468 nt
Filed under: uncultured bacterium
Lineage: Bacteria
Description: partial 16S ribosomal RNA
Rfam family: Bacterial small subunit ribosomal RNA
Source: RNAcentral
GAUGAACGCUGGCGGCGUGCUUAACACAUGCAAGUCGAACGGUGAAGGCGGAGCUUGCUCUGCUGGAUCAGUGGCGAACGGGUGAGUAACACGUGAGCAAUCUGCCCCUGACUCUGGGAUAAGCUCUGGAAACGGCGUCUAAUACCGGAUACGAGCUGCGAAGGCAUCUUCAGCAGCGGGAAAUAACUGCGGUCAGGGAUGAGCUCGCGGCCUAUCAGCUUGUUGGUGAGGUAACGGCUCACCAAGGCGUCGACGGGUAGCCGGCCUGAGAGGGUGACCGGCCACACUGGGACUGAGAUACGGCCCAGACUCCUACGGGAGGCAGCAGUGGGGAAUAUUGCACAAUGGGCGAAAGCCUGAUGCAGCAACGCCGCGUGAGGGACGACGGCCUUCGGGUUGUAAACCUCUUUUGGCAGGGAAGAAGCGAAAGUGACGGUACCUGCAGAAAAAGCGCCGGCUAACUACGUG